Molecule: non-coding RNA, 1008 nt
Organism: Aegilops tauschii subsp. strangulata
Lineage: Eukaryota; Viridiplantae; Streptophyta; Magnoliopsida; Poales; Poaceae
Source: RefSeq, a predicted model, not a curated record
AACACAACGGUUUUAACCAAUCUAGGGUUUCUCCUCACUCCACUAUCCCUUGGCAGCUAGGGUAAACUCUCUCCUCGAUGUGAUUUUUAUUAUUUUGAAAUGUUUUAUACUUCCAGUGAACUCUGAUAAUUUUUGCAGAAGAAAAACACAGCUGUUUUAUUUGCAAAAAGAAAAAGAAAAAAAAAUGUUGUUUUUGGCCAACAAUGCCUUAUCCUCACCGCAUAGUGGCACAAGACAGUGUCCAAUUUCUCCUCGAUCUCCAGACCACUCCUCUCCCCAACACGCCACUGGCGGAGCUUGCCACCUCCGGUCCCCAUAGCCUCCCUUCCCUCACGGCGUCGCCCACAUCCUCCUCUCCCCGCCACGAAGUCGCCGGCCUCCUUCUCUGCCCGGAACCUCUCGCGCCGUCCCAUCGGCACCGAGCCUGCCCGGCCGCCGGUAUGGUCGGUCCAGAAGGCCUCGCCGCUCUGCGUACGAGCCGUCCGGCGGUGUGUAUGACUACAUCUGGCACAGCGGACGCGGCAAGGAGGAGCGACGGCGCCCUCGUCGUCUUGCCCGGUCUUGUACCGUAGCCGAGCCACUCCGAGCAUAAUCCACACCUUCACCUCAAGCUGCUGUACAUCAGAGGGCAAGAGCGAGAUAGAGAGAGAUUGUGUUGUGUAGUGCUUGCUCAUGGAGGUGGCGCUGUUUCUUAGAAGUCUUGCAAGCAGACCAUCUUAACGAGGUCAACAAUGGAAGCUGAACUCACAUCACUGGAUACAGCUACGGUCGAAGCAGAUUGGCUUCGUCGGCUCUUGAAUGACUUGCCGGUUGUUGAGCAACCUAUACCGGGUGUCCUUAUGAACUGCGACAAUCAAACUGUGAUCACGAAAGUGAGCAGCUCAAAGGAUAACAUGAAGUCAUCAAUACACGUUCAGAGAAGGUUAAAGUCUGUCAGAAAAAUGAGAAACUCCGGAAUUAUUGCACUGGAUUAUAUCCAAACGUCUAAAAAUCUGGCAGAUCCUUUUA